This 252-nucleotide ribosomal RNA is filed under the name uncultured bacterium. RNAcentral describes it as "partial 16S ribosomal RNA". It matches the Rfam family "Bacterial small subunit ribosomal RNA", at positions 524 to 775 of the family's 1533-position model. The record is from RNAcentral.
UACAGAGGGGGCAAGCGUUGUUCGGAAUUACUGGGCGUAAAGGGCGCGUAGGCGGCCUGCUAAGUCGAACGUGAAAUCCCCGGGCUCAACCCGGGAACUGCGUCCGAUACUGGCAGGCUUGAAUCCGGGAGAGGGAUGUGGAAUUCCAGGUGUAGCGGUGAAAUGCGUAGAUAUCUGGAGGAACACCGGUGGCGAAGGCGGCAUCCUGGACCGGUAUUGACGCUGAUGCGCGAAAGCCAGGGGAGCAACGGG